GACGAACGCUGGCGGCGUGCCUAACACAUGCAAGUCGAACGGAGAUGUAAUUUCGGUUAUAUCUUAGUGGCGAACGGGUGAGUAACGCGUGAGCAACCUGACUCUUAGAGGGGGAUAACACCCGGAAACGAGUGCUAAUACCGCAUAAGACCACGACAUGGCAUCAUGACGAGGUCAAAGGAGCAAUCCGCUGAGAGAGGGGCUCGCGUCCCAUUAGAUAGAUGGCGGGGUAACGGCCACCAUGUCAACGAUGGGUAGCCGAGCUGAGAGGCUGAUCGGCCACACUGGAACUGAGACACGGUCCAGACUCCUACGGGAGGCAGCAGUGGGGGAAUAUUGGGCAAUGGCGCAAGCCUGACCCAGCAACGCCGCGUGA
This 376-nucleotide ribosomal RNA is filed under the name uncultured bacterium. RNAcentral describes it as "bacterial SSU rRNA". It matches the Rfam family "Bacterial small subunit ribosomal RNA", at positions 28 to 404 of the family's 1533-position model. The record is from RNAcentral.